CACAGGAAGCUUAGAUCUCAGACAAAUUAGAUAAAAAAUGAAUUUAUAGCAGAUACGUGUCCUAAGGCAUUCAGCUGAAUGUUUGGGUUUUAGGGAAGGAAGGAUAUUCCAUGUGCAACAUUCAGUAUUGGAUGAUCUGGAUUCAGUACAGAAAGCCUGGACUUUUGAGCCUAAACAGGAUCUGAAGCAGAAGGAUGAAAAACAGAUCAACCAACAACAAGAAUCAACCAUCUUGGUUUCUCAUUUGUCAAUAAUGGGCAAUAGUCCUGCCCACAUAUCAGGGAAUGU
RNAcentral lists this long non-coding RNA (288 nucleotides) under Homo sapiens (human). Its description in RNAcentral is "non-protein coding lnc-IL17A-2:6". Lineage: Eukaryota; Metazoa; Chordata; Mammalia; Primates; Hominidae. The record is from RNAcentral.